CUGGGCCACAGCAAGACUCCAUCUCCAUCUCAAAAAAAAAAAAAAGAAAAAGAAAAAGAACAGGAAGGAGACCCUAUCUGAUGCUCACAGUUCAUGCUAAAGGUAAAGAUGCACAUCACGUAAGUCAUGUUGAACACUGUUUUCCUUCUUUCCAAAUAAACUACUAAAAGCCAAUAUCUACAGUGACGGUAAGACAAGUAUUUUCACAAGUUUAUUUUGGUUUGCAGAUCCAUCAUUUUUUGAUCCUAGAGAAGCACUGAGUUACAAACAGGGUCCAGUUUCGUCAUUUAACAUUUCCAAGUGGAGACUCUUGAAAGACUCUUGGGCUUUUUCCAAAUGGAAAAAUUUAAUGAUUUAACGAUAGUAACAACAACAACAAUAGCAAAAUGCCCACGGGAAUUGAGAGCGAAUUUGAAUAUUUUCAGUCUAAACGAUGGCUUUUCACAAAGACUUUCUGUACAUUACAACUUGGCAUAGAUUUAAAUACCACAACCUCAGUGACCUCACAAUUGAGUUAUCAAAGCUACUAUAACUACUUGGAUUUGGAAUCCAGGCCUUAGCAAGGAUCUCUACCCAUCUGUUCUUACUUAGAGACAGUCUGCCUUUGAGCUCUGCUGGUGACCAAAACCUAAAUUGUAGCAGACAAAACACAGUCUUUUAUCAUGAAACAACAUAAACCAGAGCAGAAAUUUAAGGUUCUUCUCUUUUGAAAACUCAGAAUGUCUUUCAAAUAUCUUACCCAUGUGUAACACAUUCUGGAAAUUUUAACCCAAUUUCAUAAUGAGUGUAGACUUGAGAACAGACAUAGUUUAAAGACCAGACAUACUUAUAAGUUAAUUAGAUCUAUGCCUCUCAGGGAUAUAGCAGUGUUCUUAUUCUACAUAUACAUGAAGAAUUUAUAUUUUCACACCAGUAGGAAGUAUACCUACAUUAAGCCUUGGCAACAUGGCCAAACUCAUCUCUACAAAAUAUCAAAAAUUAGCCGGGCAUGAUGGCUCAUACUUGUAUUCCCAGCUACUCAGCAGGCUGAGGUGAAAGGAUCUCUUGAGCCAGGGGAGGUUGAGGCUGCAGAAAGCCGUGAUUGUACCACUGCACUUCAACUUGGGUGACAGAGUGAGACCCUGUCUCAGAAGAAGAAGAAAGAGGAAAGAAGAAAGAAGGAAGAAGAAGAAAAGAAGUAUACCUGCAUAUUAUAUAGAACAAGCUGCAGUGAGGACCUGAUAGUCAAAAUUACUUGGAGGAAAAUCACAGCUCUUCUCCCCUAGAAAGUCUGCUGAGUCUCACCAGGAGAAUCUCACAGGGAGGCUGCCACGAAUUCUCUCUGCAAGGACUGUGAAACUCAGAAUUGCUGAUGGAAUUUUGUGCAUCUGUCCUGUUGGAGAGAGGAAUUUUUCACUGGAGAAAGCUCAAGCAUGAAGGCUGAAUGGUGGAAGAAGUAGGCUCUGAUGGACAUUACAGUUUAUCCCUCCAGAUCCACUUUCCUUCCCCAGGCCACGCUCCAUCCUGCUCUGUGCUUCACCAAGUUGGCCUGUAUGGGCUAUGCUGGUGGCUUCUUUGCAUUCUGUCCUUUGGUUGGGCCUAGCCAAUGAGAGGCACUGGUAAGGGAUGAGAGGGUGGAGAAGAAUGAGGUUGCAUUAUAUAUUCUCUAAGCUCAUUCUCUGGUGGCCUGCCACGAAUUGGCCACCUCACUCCACCAAAAGUAGUUCUUUCUGUCAGGUAGCCCUUUCUAUGAAACUACUCUCUUUGAGUUCAAGCAACUUCUUCCUCCUCUUACACUUUAGAUCAAGGGGUGGUAACAGCUCCUAGCCCUUGCUAGCCUGAGAUUGCUGUACAAAUUUACUGGUUUUCUUGAUGUCUGCCUACACAUUAUUAAACUCUUCUCAUUAUCCAAGUUUGUAAAUGCCUUCUAUUUCUUGCCAGGAUCCCAACUGAUAUGGUUAGCCUGUGGAUUGAUUUCUUUAAACUCAUGUUUUCACCCCUUGUCCCAUCAGACAUGGUCAGGAGCUGUAAGUUUAAAUACCACAAACACAACUGAAGGCCAGCCCAUGCAUUUCCAGUGAAAACACUUUUAUGAAUAGAGG
Molecule: long non-coding RNA, 2081 nt
Filed under: Homo sapiens (human)
Lineage: Eukaryota; Metazoa; Chordata; Mammalia; Primates; Hominidae
Description: HSALNT0332845
Source: RNAcentral